UUAAGCGACUAAGCGUACACGGUGGAUGCCCUGGCAGUCAGAGGCGAUGAAGGACGUGCUAAUCUGCGAUAAGCGUCGGUAAGGUGAUAUGAACCGUUAUAACCGGCGAUUUCCGAAUGGGGAAACCCAGUGUGAUUCGUCACACUAUCAUUAACUGAAUCCAUAGGUUAAUGAGGCGAACCGGGGGAACUGAAACAUCUAAGUACCCCGAGGAAAAGAAAUCAACCGAGAUUCCCCCAGUAGCGGCGAGCGAACGGGGAGCAGCCCAGAGCCUGAAUCAGUGUGUGUGUUAGUGGAAGCGUCUGGAAAGGCGCGCGAUACAGGGUGACAGCCCCGUACACAAAAAUGCACAUACUGUGAGCUCGAUGAGUAGGGCGGGACACGUGGUAUCCUGUCUGAAUAUGGGGGGACCAUCCUCCAAGGCUAAAUACUCCUGACUGACCGAUAGUGAACCAGUACCGUGAGGGAAAGGCGAAAAGAACCCCGGCGAGGGGAGUGAAAAAGAACCUGAAACCGUGUACGUACAAGCAGUGGGAGCACGCUUAGGCGUGUGACUGCGUACCUUUUGUAUAAUGGGUCAGCGACUUAUAUUCUGUAGCAAGGUUAACCGAAUAGGGGAGCCGAAGGGAAACCGAGUCUUAACUGGGCGUUAAGUUGCAGGGUAUAGACCCGAAACCCGGUGAUCUAGCCAUGGGCAGGUUGAAGGUUGGGUAACACUAACUGGAGGACCGAACCGACUAAUGUUGAAAAAUUAGCGGAUGACUUGUGGCUGGGGGUGAAAGGCCAAUCAAACCGGGAGAUAGCUGGUUCUCCCCGAAAGCUAUUUAGGUAGCGCCUCGUGAAUUCAUCUCCGGGGGUAGAGCACUGUUUCGGCAAGGGGGUCAUCCCGACUUACCAACCCGAUGCAAACUGCGAAUACCGGAGAAUGUUAUCACGGGAGACACACGGCGGGUGCUAACGUCCGUCGUGAAGAGGGAAACAACCCAGACCGCCAGCUAAGGUCCCAAAGUCAUGGUUAAGUGGGAAACGAUGUGGGAAGGCCCAGACAGCCAGGAUGUUGGCUUAGAAGCAGCCAUCAUUUAAAGAAAGCGUAAUAGCUCACUGGUCGAGUCGGCCUGCGCGGAAGAUGUAACGGGGCUAAACCAUGCACCGAAGCUGCGGCAGCGACGCUUAUGCGUUGUUGGGUAGGGGAGCGUUCUGUAAGCCUGCGAAGGUGUGCUGUGAGGCAUGCUGGAGGUAUCAGAAGUGCGAAUGCUGACAUAAGUAACGAUAAAGCGGGUGAAAAGCCCGCUCGCCGGAAGACCAAGGGUUCCUGUCCAACGUUAAUCGGGGCAGGGUGAGUCGACCCCUAAGGCGAGGCCGAAAGGCGUAGUCGAUGGGAAACAGGUUAAUAUUCCUGUACUUGGUGUUACUGCGAAGGGGGGACGGAGAAGGCUAUGUUGGCCGGGCGACGGUUGUCCCGGUUUAAGCGUGUAGGCUGGUUUUCCAGGCAAAUCCGGAAAAUCAAGGCUGAGGCGUGAUGACGAGGCACUACGGUGCUGAAGCAACAAAUGCCCUGCUUCCAGGAAAAGCCUCUAAGCAUCAGGUAACAUCAAAUCGUACCCCAAACCGACACAGGUGGUCAGGUAGAGAAUACCAAGGCGCUUGAGAGAACUCGGGUGAAGGAACUAGGCAAAAUGGUGCCGUAACUUCGGGAGAAGGCACGCUGAUAUGUAGGUGAAGUCCCUCGCGGAUGGAGCUGAAAUCAGUCGAAGAUACCAGCUGGCUGCAACUGUUUAUUAAAAACACAGCACUGUGCAAACACGAAAGUGGACGUAUACGGUGUGACGCCUGCCCGGUGCCGGAAGGUUAAUUGAUGGGGUUAGCGCAAGCGAAGCUCUUGAUCGAAGCCCCGGUAAACGGCGGCCGUAACUAUAACGGUCCUAAGGUAGCGAAAUUCCUUGUCGGGUAAGUUCCGACCUGCACGAAUGGCGUAAUGAUGGCCAGGCUGUCUCCACCCGAGACUCAGUGAAAUUGAACUCGCUGUGAAGAUGCAGUGUACCCGCGGCAAGACGGAAAGACCCCGUGAACCUUUACUAUAGCUUGACACUGAACAUUGAGCCUUGAUGUGUAGGAUAGGUGGGAGGCUUUGAAGUGUGGACGCCAGUCUGCAUGGAGCCGACCUUGAAAUACCACCCUUUAAUGUUUGAUGUUCUAACGUUGACCCGUAAUCCGGGUUGCGGACAGUGUCUGGUGGGUAGUUUGACUGGGGCGGUCUCCUCCUAAAGAGUAACGGAGGAGCACGAAGGUUGGCUAAUCCUGGUCGGACAUCAGGAGGUUAGUGCAAUGGCAUAAGCCAGCUUGACUGCGAGCGUGACGGCGCGAGCAGGUGCGAAAGCAGGUCAUAGUGAUCCGGUGGUUCUGAAUGGAAGGGCCAUCGCUCAACGGAUAAAAGGUACUCCGGGGAUAACAGGCUGAUACCGCCCAAGAGUUCAUAUCGACGGCGGUGUUUGGCACCUCGAUGUCGGCUCAUCACAUCCUGGGGCUGAAGUAGGUCCCAAGGGUAUGGCUGUUCGCCAUUUAAAGUGGUACGCGAGCUGGGUUUAGAACGUCGUGAGACAGUUCGGUCCCUAUCUGCCGUGGGCGCUGGAGAACUGAGGGGGGCUGCUCCUAGUACGAGAGGACCGGAGUGGACGCAUCACUGGUGUUCGGGUUGUCAUGCCAAUGGCACUGCCCGGUAGCUAAAUGCGGAAGAGAUAAGUGCUGAAAGCAUCUAAGCACGAAACUUGCCCCGAGAUGAGUUCUCCCUGACUCCUUGAGAGUCCUGAAGGAACGUUGAAGACGACGACGUUGAUAGGCCGGGUGUGUAAGCGCAGCGAUGCGUUGAGCUAACCGGUACUAAUGAACCGUGAGGCUUAACCUU
RNAcentral lists this ribosomal RNA (2902 nucleotides) under Escherichia coli. RNAcentral's name for it is "bacterial LSU rRNA". It matches the Rfam family "Bacterial large subunit ribosomal RNA". The record is from RNAcentral. Lineage: Bacteria; Pseudomonadati; Pseudomonadota; Gammaproteobacteria; Enterobacterales; Enterobacteriaceae.